This 305-nucleotide ribosomal RNA is filed under the name uncultured bacterium. RNAcentral describes it as "partial 16S ribosomal RNA". It matches the Rfam family "Bacterial small subunit ribosomal RNA", at positions 506 to 807 of the family's 1533-position model. The record is from RNAcentral.
ACAGCAGUAGCCGCGGUAAUACGUAGGUGGCAAGCGUUGUCCGGAAUUAUUGGGCGUAAAGGGCUCGCAGGCGGUUUCUUAAGUCUGAUGUGAAAGCCCCCGGCUCAACCGGGGAGGGUCAUUGGAAACUGGGAAACUUGAGUGCAGAAGAGGAGAGUGGAAUUCCACGUGUAGCGGUGAAAUGCGUAGAGAUGUGGAGGAACACCAGUGGCGAAGGCGACUCUCUGGUCUGUAACUGACGCUGAGGAGCGAAAGCGUGGGGAGCGAACAGGAUUAGAUACCCCGGUAGUCCCUGUCUCUUAUAC